Molecule: ribosomal RNA, 375 nt
Filed under: uncultured bacterium
Lineage: Bacteria
Description: bacterial SSU rRNA
Rfam family: Bacterial small subunit ribosomal RNA
Source: RNAcentral
UACGUAGGUGGCAAGCGUUGUCCGGAUUUACUGGGUGUAAAGGGAGCGCAGGCGGGAAGGCAAGUCAGCUGUGAAAUACAUGGGCUUAACCCAUGGGGUGCAGUUGAAACUGUCAUUCUUGAGUGAAGUAGAGGUAGGCGGAAUUCCGAGUGUAGCGGUGAAAUGCGUAGAUAUUCGGAGGAACACCAGUGGCGAAGGCGGCCUACUGGGCUUUAACUGACGCUGAGGCUCGAAAGUGUGGGGAGCAAACAGGAUUAGAUACCCUGGUAGUCCACACUGUAAACGAUGAUUGCUAGGUGUGGGGGGUCUGACCCCUUCCGUGCCGGAGUUAACGCAAUAAGCAAUCCACCUGGGGAGUACGGCCGCAAGGCUGAA